AAAAGAAAAAGAAAAGAAGGGAAGAAAAGAAAAAAGGAAAAAAAUUGGGAAAGAGAAAUUAGUUGGGCAAAAGAAAAACUGGAUGGCAGGCUGGCCUUCAACAUGUACUGAGGUCCUCACUAUGAGCCAAUGGAAGAGAUGAAAAACAAGAAUAGGAUGAGAUAUCUAAAUUUACAACAAAGCAGGGUGAAAGCUGGUUAAUGGAGAUCAGAAUUCUGGGGUUCUCUGCUAGCCUCAGUGACCACCAAUGUCUACCACCAAAGUGAGCAUCAAGUGGAUUCAGUCUCAUGAGUACUAUGUAGCUUAUAAUUAAUGGUCCCUUAAUACAAUUAUUUUAUAAGGAACAUUUCUAUCAUAUGACAACAUAAAGGAUUUAAUGUUCCACGUGAAUUUCCUAGAAUUUAACCAAUAUGCAUCAACAUGGUAAUGACUAGAGUAAUAUGUAAGAACAGAAAGACAGACACACACACACACGCACAUACACACAUACCUUGCCCAAAUGAGAAGUGAAAAAUCACUAUUAGAGUAUAUUGGAUUUUAUUUCUAGAGGAACUAAAUAUGGCCACUAGAUGGCACUGGAGUCUGAUUUCGUCUUUCUAGUUCCAGAACCAUCUCUGGGAAAAACAACUGUAAGACUAUCAUAAAUUUUCUGAGUCAGUUACUUGCUUAUCUGAUAUGAUGCAAGGUAUAAGACAUUUUGAUAUUCUUUUUCAAGUUACUGGCAAUCUUCUGUCAAUAAAUGAACAUACUGCCAACUCAACUUGAAGCAAACUGAUCUUGUCCAGACAAGUGAGUUUUGUGAUUCCUUGAAGAGCUUCCUAUAAGUAAAUUUAAGUUUCCACAAAUGAAAUAGAUUAUAAUUUCAAAUGAAAAAAGCACGAUAUGCCUCUCCCAAAGUGCUGACUCUAGCUCUCCAUUUCCUCUAGCACAUCUAGGGUAAUGCCUAGAAAUCCAUUCAACACACUUGUGCCAAGACAAGUGUUCCAGGGUCCACUUAGGUACUACGAGGCAGUUGGGCACCUCUUUGUGGAAUUUACAUUCUGGUGGAAAAGCCAGACAAUAAGCAAAUGAGUAGAUACAAUUAUUAUAUAUGCCAUGAAGAAGAUCAGUGGCUAACAUGGUAAGGACAGUGGGGUCAAGAGGAGGUGCGUUUGAUGAGGCGGUUAGAAGUCUUCUCUGAAAAGGUGAAAUUUGAGCUAGAACUAGAAUAAGAUAGAAUCUACCACAGAAAGAAGGUCAGCAUGGUAGAAGGAGCAAGGGGGGAAGGGGAAAGAGGUAAGAAAGGAGCUGGGAGAGGCAGGUAAACCGAGUCUAAGAGAGACUUAGAGUUUGUCUAAGGGAGACUGCAAGUUUGUAUUUCAUCUUGUUAUGUGAGUCACUGAAAGGUUUUAAGCAAGCAAAUAGCACAUUUGAUUUACAUUUUAAAAAGAUCAUUCUGGCUGCCAGUGGGCAAUGGAUUAUAUGACACAGGAUAAUAACAGCAAGUGCUCACUAUAUGUCUAUUAAAGGAAUGAAUGAACAACUAUGUCCACUGUGGCUAACACCACUAGGUGCUUAUUAUUCAUUGAAAUUCAUUUUAUCACAUUGAUAGAGUUAAUAACACUCUUAAGAUAAUAGUUCUCAAGCUUUAGCAUCCAUCAGAAUGAACUAGAGCACCUAUUAAACACAGAUUGCUAGGCUACACCCUUAAUCAUACUUUUAGACAUUACUUCCUCCCUCCACAGCUUCUGAUUCAGGAGAUUUGGGUGGGGCCCAAGAAUCUGAAUUUCCAACAAGUUCCCAGAUGAUGCCGAUGUCACUGAUCUGAGGACACUUGGAGACCCACUGCCAGAAGAUGGAACCCGUCUAUACAUAGCAAAUUUUGUUACUUUGACUUGCCGGCUGCUCCCUGCCAACCACCGUAUGUAUCUUUUAAUUAAGUAGAAAAGAGAUCUUAAAAGCUCACAUAAGCCUAGGAAACUCUAUUUCUGGCUGACAGCAAUGUCUCCUCAUUUGCUAGCAAAAGCACAGAUUGACAGAAUAGAAUAGAUCAAGAAAAUUGAUCGUUACUCAUAUGCUGGAUUGAGUCAAUAUAUGUAAAUCCAUCCCUAUUGCUGGCAGGCACUGAGAUGCUUGCCAUGCAGAACAGACACAGUUACAGCCUGUUUUCUAGUCCAAAUGCCAGCUUUUUGCUUUAAUGCAGCAAAACUACAGUUAUGUACUCGGAAAGCUCUUUUGUAUUCAUAACAACUGCAGUUUGAAUGUGGUUCAGGACAGAGAAACUGUAUUUACGAGCCAC
This is a long non-coding RNA of Canis lupus familiaris (dog), 2278 nucleotides long. RefSeq lists it as uncharacterized. The transcript has 3 exons. The record is from RefSeq and is a predicted model, not a curated record. NCBI's taxonomy places the organism in Eukaryota, Metazoa, Chordata, Mammalia, Carnivora, Canidae.